This 251-nucleotide long non-coding RNA is filed under the name Gossypium barbadense (sea-island cotton). Its description in RNAcentral is "long non-coding RNA (GBAR_LNC002226)". Lineage: Eukaryota; Viridiplantae; Streptophyta; Magnoliopsida; Malvales; Malvaceae. The record is from RNAcentral.
AUGAAUCUUCCUCACUACUAGACUCAAAAGAAUCUGAAUUGCUAGCUUGUUUUUCUUUCUUUGCAAGUAAAGAUCCAUAUUUGGCAAAGGCAGGUUGUUUCUUUAGGGGACAAGUUCCUGAACCAAAAAAAGAAAAGAAAAGAAAAGAUAUAGCAUUAAAAAGUCAAAGCAGAUACAUUAUAUCGAACCAUUACCAUGCUAGAAAAGGAUGAUGAUUUCAUUAUAUUGAACCAUUACCAUGCUCUUCCAAG